AUGGAGUAUGUCCCGGAGACGCUCUACCGCGGGUUUAAGAACUACAGUAAUGCCAAACAGGGGAUGUCACUUAUCUACAUCAAGAUUUACACCUAUCAGGUUUGUGAAUUGUCAAUGAAUAAAUGUGAAAUGUGUGUCUUCCAUUGUGCAACUAUUCUAAGUCAAUUCUACAUUGUUGGUGUCUAUUCAGGGGGCUCGUGUACAUUCAUUACUGUUCCCGGAGUCUGUCACAGGGAUGUGAAGCCACAAAAUGUUUUGGUAUGCAUCAGCGAAUACUUGUUGUGUGCAUCACUUAUGCAGAGGCCAGGGUCAUCCCCUUCUGAAAAAAGAACAAACAGUGAACAUAUUAGCUUGGUUAUCAUGUGUUCUCAUGCUUGCUUUUGA
This 384-nucleotide ribosomal RNA is filed under the name Triticum aestivum (bread wheat). Its description in RNAcentral is "partial small subunit ribosomal RNA". The record is from RNAcentral. Lineage: Eukaryota; Viridiplantae; Streptophyta; Magnoliopsida; Poales; Poaceae.